This 503-nucleotide ribosomal RNA is filed under the name uncultured bacterium. Its description in RNAcentral is "partial 16S ribosomal RNA". It matches the Rfam family "Bacterial small subunit ribosomal RNA", at positions 28 to 507 of the family's 1533-position model. The record is from RNAcentral.
GAUAAACGCUGGCGGCGUGCAUAACACAUGCAAGUCGAACGAUGAAGAUUAAAAGAUUUCUUCGGAAUGAACUUAAUUGGAUUAGUGGCGGACGGGUGAGUAACGCGUGAGUAACCUGCCUUGUACAAGGGGAUAGCCGUUGGAAACGACGAAUAAUACCCUAUGACAUCAAAUAAUCGCAUGAUAAUUUGAUCAAAGAUUUAUCGGUAUAAGAUGGACUCGCGUCUGAUUAGCUAGUUGGGAGAGUAAAAGCCUACCAAGGCAACGAUCAGUAGCCGGCCUGAGCGGAGGACCGGCCACAUUGGAACUGAGCCACGGGCGACACUCCUACGGGAGGCAGCAGUGGGGACUAUUGUCGGAUGGGCGAAAGCCUGAUGCAGCCAAGCGCCGUGAGUGAAGAAGGUCUUCGGAUCGUAAAACACUUUAAGUUGGGAAGAAGGUAAGUAACUUCAUACCUGCCGGUCUUGACGGUACCUAAUGAAUAAGCACCGGCUAACUUCGUG